This 259-nucleotide ribosomal RNA is filed under the name uncultured bacterium. RNAcentral's name for it is "partial 16S ribosomal RNA". It matches the Rfam family "Bacterial small subunit ribosomal RNA", at positions 28 to 258 of the family's 1533-position model. The record is from RNAcentral.
GAUGAACGCUAGCGGCAGGCUUAACACAUGCAAGUCGAGGGGUAACAGGGUAGCAAUACCGCUGACGACCGGCAAACGGGUGCGGAACACGUACACAAUCUACCAUUGUCUGGGGUAUAGCCCGGAGAAAUCCGGAUUAAACCCCCCACCUAAGUAAGUAUUUAGUUAAAGGAACGACUACUUUCCUUAGAAGUAAUUUAAAUUUAAACUUCCCGGUACCGGGGAACGAAACUAAGUAGUAGUAGGUAGGUUGGUCGGU